This 406-nucleotide ribosomal RNA is filed under the name uncultured bacterium. RNAcentral's name for it is "partial 16S ribosomal RNA". It matches the Rfam family "Bacterial small subunit ribosomal RNA", at positions 30 to 526 of the family's 1533-position model. The record is from RNAcentral.
AUUGAACGCUGGCGGCAGGCUUAACACAUGCAAGUCGAGCGAGCGGCGGACGGGUGAGUAAUGUCUGGGAAACUGCCUGAUGGAGGGGGAUAACUACUGGAAACGGUAACUAAUCCCGCAUACCAUCGGAUGUGCCCAGAUGGGAUUAGCUAGUGGGUGGGGUAAAGGCUCACCUAGGCGACGAUCCCUAGCUGGUCUGAGAGGAUGACCAGUCAAACUGGAACUGAGACACGGUCCAGACUCCUACGGGAGGCAGCAGUGGGGAAUAUUGGACAAUGGGCGCAAGCCUGAUGCAGCCAUGCCGCGUGUGUGAAGAAGGCCUUCGGGUUGUAAAGCACUUUCAGCGAGGAGGCGUUACGCGCAGAAGAAGCACCGGCUAACUCCGUGCCAGCAGCCGCGGUAAUUC